This is a long non-coding RNA of Nicotiana attenuata, 474 nucleotides long. RefSeq lists it as uncharacterized. The transcript is spliced from 2 exons. The record is from RefSeq and is a predicted model, not a curated record. Lineage: Eukaryota; Viridiplantae; Streptophyta; Magnoliopsida; Solanales; Solanaceae.
AAUUAGUUCCCUCUCUCACAAAUCUUUUAGCAGCGCUCGAUGCUCUCUUCAUCUUGUCUACGAAGCCAGUGGGGCGCAAUCCAAAGAACAAAGAUAUUUACCCACUGAAUCAAAGGACAUUCUAGCGCAAUGAAUCGAUCAUCCAGGAUUUGAGCUAAUUGCCAUGGUAAAGCACCCCUUGUGGUUUGUUUACUUCUACAGAUGUAUUUGGAGUUUGUUUAUCAAAAGUUGUUUUAAUAGUACUUUUGAGCAACUUUAGCUAUGAAUUGAUUGCUGGACCAAUAUUAACAAAGAUUACUGGACUGAGUAAAAGCUAUUCGAUGACUAGUCAGAGUAAGUGCUACAGAUCAUAUUAAGUACUUCCUUUGUUCCAGAUCAUAUAUGUGUUUGUAUAAUUUAGUUUGUAAUGUUUGUUACUAUAGAUAUUUGUAAUGGAAUUAGAGUUACUAAUUUAGUAAACAAUUAUUUAUUGAA